Molecule: long non-coding RNA, 1214 nt
Filed under: Coturnix japonica (Japanese quail)
Lineage: Eukaryota; Metazoa; Chordata; Aves; Galliformes; Phasianidae
Description: lncRNA (ENSCJPG00005001116.1)
Source: RNAcentral
CCCAAAUCUGACCCCAAGAACCCGAAAUCUGCCCCAAUUGGAUCCCAAAAAACCCCAUUCUUUGGCCCCCAAACCCCCAAUCUGACCCAAAAAUCCCAAAUUUGCCCAAAUUGGACCCAAAAAGCCCCUUAAUCCCNGGUAGAUUUGGGGGUUUUGGGGGUCAAAAUGGGGUUUUUUGGGUCAGAUUUGGGGUUUUUGGGGUGAAAAUUGAUGUUUUUGGCAGCGGGUUUGGGGCGGAUUUAGGGGUUUUUGGGUCCAAUUUGGGGCAGAUUUGGGGCUUUUUUGGGGUAAUUUGGGGCUUUUUUGGGGCUUUUUGGGUCAGAUUUGGGGGUUUUUGGCUCCAAUUUGGGGUAGAUUUGGGGGUUUUGGGGGGUCAAAAUGGGGUUUUUUGGGUCAGAUUUGGGGUUUUUGGGGUGAAAAUUGAUGUUUUUGGCAGCGGAUUUGGGGCGGAUUGAGGCGUUUUAGGGCAAAUUUGGGGCAGAUUUGGGGUUUUGGUGUCAGAUUUGGGGCUUUUUGGGUCAGAUUUGGGGUUUUUUGGGUCCAACUUGGGUCAGAUUUGGGGUUUUUGGGGUGAAAAUUGAUGUUUUUGGCAGCGGAUUUGGGGCAGAUUUAGGGGUUUUUGGGUCCAAUUUGGGGCAGAUUUAGGGCUUUUUUGGGGUAAUUUGGGGCUUUUUUGGGGCUUUUGGGGUCAGAUUUGGGGGUUUUUGGGGUGAAAAUUGAUGUUUUUGGCAGCGGAUUUGGGGGGAUUUAGGGGUUUUUUUGGUCCAAUUUGGGUCAGAUUUGGGGUUUUUGGCGUGAAAAUUGAUGUAUUUGACGGCGGAUUUGGGGCAGAUUUAGGGGUUUUGGGGCCAAUUUGGGGCAGAUUUGGGGGUUUUAGGGACAGAUUUGGGGUUAUUGGGGUCUUUUGGGGUCCAAAUUGGGUCAGAUUUGGGAUUUUUGGGUCCAGUUUUGGGGCAGAUAUGGGUUUUUUUGGGGAAAAGUUGGGGUAUAUUUUGGGUUUUUUGGGUCAGAUUUUGGGGUUUUGGGACAAUAUGGGGCAGAUUUGGGGGUUUUCGGGUCUAGAUUUGGGAUUUUUGGGUCAAAUUUGGGCAGAUUUGGGGUUUUGGGGGAAAAUUUGGGGUGUAUUUGGGGUUUUUGGGGUCCAAUUUGGGGCAAAUUUGGGUUUUUUUGGGUCUUUUUGGGCACAAAUUUAGGUCAGAGUUUGGGGGUUUUGG